Molecule: long non-coding RNA, 774 nt
Organism: Sipha flava (yellow sugarcane aphid)
Lineage: Eukaryota; Metazoa; Arthropoda; Insecta; Hemiptera; Aphididae
Exons: 3
Source: RefSeq, a predicted model, not a curated record
UAUACCGAAUAAGGUAACCUAACCUUCUAUGCUUGGUCAAACGAUGUACAUGUUUUACGAGUGUUUCGUUUAUUAUUUCACCAACGGGCCUAAUAUUUUUACUGAUUUUUUUUUUUCCGUAGUUUAAUUUUCGGUGUUAUUAGAAUCCUCUCGUUAAUGUCGCCGCGUCAAGUUUAGGUUGAAUAAAGUGUUUUAUACGGUCGUGGUCGUAUUCGAGUUCUGACGAUUGAAUGUAAAAGUGGCAUUGAGUGUACUUGACCCGGGAAGAAAAUAAACUUUUCAUUAUAAUUUGAUUAAAAAAGGGCAUCGAUAUUGAACGAGUUCUUCUUACGGUGCACAAUCAUGUUUGAACAAUGUUUAUAUUUCUAUGCGAGCCUAUCUCGAAUAGGUACAUUGUUUACGAAAGACGAAAACCCGUGGCCUCUUGGUCAACACUAAAACAACGCUUCAACGAGAAUUUUUUCUCACUAUAGCCAGUCCUCAGCCUGUAAAUGGAAAGGAAAAUGUUGAUGAUCGGAAGCCGAUACGGCCAUACUUCAAGUGAAAAGAGGGAGCCGGAGCGGACAGACGUAGCGGAUACACAUCUGUAUGUUAAAAUAAUCAAGAAUAAAUCAAUCGCGGUUACAGAGAAAUCAAGACGAGCGGCCAUAAACGAUAAAGAUAAUUCGUUUAUUACCUACCUAUGGGAUGAUCCGAAAUCCAUUGAAUCCGAACCUAAGUCCUUGUCCGUAUGACUGCAAACGAUUGACGGAAAUCCUUGUCUCGCAUCGAUUU